AGCCCUAAGUGGGUGGUAAACUCCAUCUAAGGCUAAAUAUAACCACGAGACCGAUAGCGAACAAGUACCGUGAGGGAAAGUUGAAAAGCACUUUGAAGAGAGAGUUCAAGAGUACGUGAAACCGUUUAGGGGUAAACCUGAGAAACCCGAAAGGUCGAAGGGAGAAAUUCAUUCGCGUUUCGCCGUUGGCGUUAAGCGGUCGUGUGACGGAGAAUGCUUUCGAGCCUUUUCCGCGCCUUCCGUUUCUCGAUCCGAUAGCGAACGCGUGCACUUUUCUCCUGGUAGGACGUCGCGAUCCGUUGGGUGUCGGUCUACGGCUCUCGGUGGAGCCCGUAUGUACGGCUUGCGCCGCUUACGUACGGACCCGAGUGUCCCGGCUGACUCGCUCGACGGUAUACGAAAGGUUUAAGGCCGCUCUAGUGAGCGUUCGACUCGUCGCAAGCGCGUCAGAUGUGUCGGUAAUCGGACCUAGUGCCGGUUCUGGCCUCUGAUGACUGUUGGCGACGAAGUUCUCGAACAGACCUCUAACCGAUCUGCGACGCUAUAGCUUUGGGUACUUUCAG
RNAcentral lists this ribosomal RNA (563 nucleotides) under Deracanthus sp. CNC COL VG00010443. RNAcentral's name for it is "partial 28S ribosomal RNA". It matches the Rfam family "Eukaryotic large subunit ribosomal RNA", at positions 284 to 645 of the family's 3401-position model. The record is from RNAcentral. Lineage: Eukaryota; Metazoa; Arthropoda; Insecta; Coleoptera; Curculionidae.